Long non-coding RNA from Eptesicus fuscus (big brown bat), 907 nucleotides. RefSeq lists it as uncharacterized. The record is from RefSeq and is a predicted model, not a curated record. NCBI's taxonomy places the organism in Eukaryota, Metazoa, Chordata, Mammalia, Chiroptera, Vespertilionidae. The transcript has 4 exons.
GGGAGCAGGGGAUGAUAAGGUUCUUUGUUCUUACCUUCCUUGUUUCUCUUUCUUUUAGUACAGUGAUGGCGAACCUAUGACACGCGUGUCAGCACUGACACGCGUAGCCAUUUCUGAUGACACGCGGCUGCUGAGGUGGCCGCAUGCCGAGGAUGAAACAUUUGCUGCUCCUGAGGAUGAAACAUUUGCGAAAUAAUGUUUUUUCCUCCAAGUGACACACUACCCCAGUUAUGCUCAGUUUUUUGGUGAAGUUUGACACACCAAGCUCAAAAGGCAGCGCCACAUGGAGGGCAUGAGGCAGGUUUGUGCACCAGGGCACCAAUCCCAAAGGUGGUCCGAGGAUCUCCUUCAAGGAGAAUAUGGAAGAAGAGAGAAAAAAAGAUCCUGGUGGUUGACAUGUGGGAAGCAAAGCCACGAGUUCCGUAGGAGGAUCUAUAUAUAGCUCUGCGAUCAACAGCUUUGCUUCCUUGCCUCCUUAGCAGCUGGAGACAGGCUCUUGCUUCCAGAUGUGGGAUGGAGAAGGUGCAUGCAGGCAAACUUACACAUGCCUGGUGUGCAGCAAGAGGCUCCAUAAACAUUUCCCCAAUAUGCUUCUCCUGAAGACAAUCUCAUGUUUAUUAGCAUAAGCUCUGGAAAUUGGGACCAGCAAAUUGAAGAGAGUCACUUAUGAGCUGAGUGACAGACCAAGAAUGCAUGGAAACCCACCCAGCUCCAGCUUGAUUCAUUUUUCUAGACAAGAAACAAAAAAACUGACCACUGAAGACUGAAGGGCAUCAAUACUGACCACAGUAUGGAUGAUGGUGAUAACAGUGGCUAGCCUCUUCAUAUAGAAGUUUCUGGCUACCCUACUGCUUUCCUACUGUUAUAUAAUAAAGAUUUUGGCUGGUUUUUGUUGCCAGUUCCUGAA